Long non-coding RNA from Rhinolophus ferrumequinum (greater horseshoe bat), 1787 nucleotides. RefSeq lists it as uncharacterized. The record is from RefSeq and is a predicted model, not a curated record. Lineage: Eukaryota; Metazoa; Chordata; Mammalia; Chiroptera; Rhinolophidae. The transcript is spliced from 3 exons.
CCCAGAGACCCCGGCCCCGGGGAGAGCCAGCAUUGCCUAGGGGCAGCCUGGGGAAGGGCGGGCUAAGAACGCGGGGCGCGAGCCUGAAACGCCUGCCUGCUCCCCAGACAGACAUUAUUUUUUCCAUAAAAGUGAUCCAAACUACCUAUAGGGAUCAGCCAAUACAUUUUGCCAUAAGAACUAGGAUAAGAAGACUUACGCAAUAUCUCGUGGGGACCAUUUACCUGCUUCUGCUACUACAAACGAUUGGACAUCCAUUGACCCUGACUCUUCGUUCAUGUGUGGAAACCUGGCCUGAAAUUAGUUCUUUGGACUGUCUUUGUACUUUUCCAACUUGCCGAGUUUCUGAAAGAAGGACUCCCAGAUGCCAAGAACUCCCAGAAGAAGAGGACUUUCCUAGAUCUGUUACUGGGACUAACUAAUUCUUGGCUUCAGGAGGAAGUUUCAACUAAUUCUCCAGAUAAAGUCAAAACAGGACUGUCCCUUGAAGACUGAAGGUGUAAACAAGCUUCUGGCUUCCCUAGUUCAAGCAGAGAAAAACUUUAGUCGAAUGUUGGGUUCCCUCUUUGUUAUUCAAACAUACACCCACACACACAUCCUCUUCACCCUCCCUAUUGAAAAACCUCAACAGAUGGAGAGCCUAGGCUCCCAAGCCUGCUGGCUGAGAAGAUGCGCUUCAUUCAAGGGUCAGUCAGCUGGUACAGAUUGGGGGAGGGAGAAGGGCCGAGUAGUCAGUAUAGGGAAUCGCUAUCCUUUAAUACUUCUUACUAUAGAAAUUCAAAGAAUGUGAAGGUUAGCAGCCUCUGGGGCCUGGAAAACCAAUUUAGCUGAUGUGUCUGUGGUGGGGACUGAGCUUGGGGCUGCAGCACGGGGAAAGGACUUGUGCUAUAUUCUCUCCCUUGCUCUCUCAUUGCAAAGCUGUACAAAGAAAUGAUACAAGUGAAUGAUUAAGUUAAUGAUUGCAUGUGAGGUGGAUUUUUUUUCUGUCAGGUCCCUGGAUCAGGCUGAAAGCUACCAGUAGGAGGCAGAAUAUGUACUUAAUCGCCCAUUCUGACCGCCUUUCCAGGGGCCAGGACUACUCUUCAGGCGUUUUCCUCUGCAACUUCCCCACCCCCUGGCUAGCUCAAUUGGGUCUCCUCCCGUCACUCCAGGCUGGGUCCUGAGUUUCUCCUGGUCGCCAGGGAAAAGUCUCCAUCAGCCUAAUCUCUUUCCCACCCCCACCUCCCAUUUUGCAGUGGGCCAUUCCAUCUGCCUCACCUCCACCCUACCUUAAUUCACAUCUGAUUGUCUGGACAAAACAACUGCCACCACGACCGCCGUCCAUGAGCCCGGGCUUGCAGCCCUGACCCCUUUCUUCAGGCCUCAGGAGGAUCCCCCACAACCUCCCUGAUCUCUACCUCCCCCAAAGCGGUCUUUACAAGAAAAAAACAGAGCUGGCCAAGACCUGAGCCAUUUGCUCCCCGUAGGCAAACGAGAUGAACCUCCCAGAGACCAAUGCUCAGAGCGACACCCGGCCCGUCCCCACCUCCAGUUGUCCGCCCAGCGUCGCCUCUGUGCGGCCUUCCCCGCCGCGGAACCUGUGGGGAAGCUGCGCACACAAUGGCGCAGCCGCUCUGGUAAGACCCGGCUGCUCAGGGCGCCCUCAACCCAGCGCCAGGCGGCGAGGGCCAGCAGCCUCGAGGCCUUGGUGCGUUCCCCAUUGCCCUUGCACAUCCAUAAUGGGCUCGCGUGGAGGUUUCCCUGCCAACUUGCCCCUUGCCGCUGUAGGUCCUCGGGAGAGGAGAGGC